Molecule: transfer-messenger RNA, 324 nt
Filed under: Hymenobacter sp.
Lineage: Bacteria; Pseudomonadati; Bacteroidota; Cytophagia; Cytophagales; Hymenobacteraceae
Description: partial transfer-messenger RNA
Rfam family: transfer-messenger RNA
About the family: Bacterial tmRNA, also known as 10Sa RNA or SsrA, is named for its dual tRNA and mRNA-like properties. Its role is to liberate the mRNA from a stalled ribosome.
Source: RNAcentral
GAGUUGGUGGAAGCUCUCCCGUUAAAAAAUCUACUAAAAAACAACUGGCGAGUAUAGCUACGCCAUGGCUGCCUAGUUUAGAACUACGCACUGCCAUCGUGCCGCCGGGGCUUUUCCAUUGCGCCCCGGAGUUCGGCGCGUCGUAAGUAACGGAUAGCCAGCUGAGAGCCGUGAUUGGCUGGCGAAACUUCACUGCGGAUAAGGAGGCAUUAUAGGCCCGGCUGGUGCCCGGUGCCUCUCGAAUAAAACAAGCCAGACUACGCACGUAGAAAGCACGUCAACUUCCUUGUCUGGACCAGGGUUCGAAUCCCUGCAUCUCCACAU